CCCUUAGAUGUUCUGGGCCGCACGCGCGCUACACUGACGAAUGCAACGAGCUUAUAACCUUGGCCGAAAGGUCUGGGUAAUCUCCAAAUUUCGUCGUGAUGGGGAUAGAUUAUUGCAAUUAUUAAUCUUCAACGAGGAACGCCUAGUAAGCGCAAGUCAUCAGCUUGCGUUGAUUACGUCCCUGCCCUUUGUACACACCGCCCGUCGCUCCUACCGAUUGAAUGGUCCGGUGAAGCGUUCGGACCGUGGCCUUUGGACGGUUCGCCGUCUGUUGGCUGCGGGAAGUUCGUUAAACCUUAUCAUUUAGAGGAAGGAGAAGUCGUAACA
This 327-nucleotide ribosomal RNA is filed under the name uncultured eukaryote. Its description in RNAcentral is "partial 18S ribosomal RNA". It matches the Rfam family "Eukaryotic small subunit ribosomal RNA", at positions 1470 to 1796 of the family's 1831-position model. The record is from RNAcentral.